This is a non-coding RNA of Terfezia boudieri ATCC MYA-4762, 90 nucleotides long. The record is from the annotation of a GenBank genome assembly. Lineage: Eukaryota; Fungi; Ascomycota; Pezizomycetes; Pezizales; Pezizaceae.
GCGACUUUAGCUCAGUUGGAAGAGCGUCAGACUGAAGCCCCACUUCGGUCAUUCAUCUGAAGGCCUUAUGUUCAAUCCACAAAAGUCGCA